GACGAACGCUGGCGGCGUGCUUAACACAUGCAAGUCGAACGGAAAGGCCUGCUUUCCCUUGUGGUUUGCGGGUACUCGAGUGGCGAACGGGUGAGUAACACGUGAGUGAUCUGCCCCCAACUUGGGUAUAAGCCUGGGAAACUGGGUCUAAUUCCCGAUAGGACUGCAGGGUGGUGCCUGUGGUGGAAAACGAUUUUCUAGUGGUUGGGGAUGAGCUCGCGGCCUAUCAGCUUGUUGGUGGGGUAAUGGCCUACCAAGGCGGCGACGGGUAGCCGGCCUGGGAGGGUGGACGGCCACAUUGGGACUGAGAUACGGCCCAGACUCCUACGGGAGGCAGCAGUGGGGAAUAUUGCACAAUGGGCGGAAGCCUGAUGCAGCGACGCCGCGUGGGGGAUGACGGCCUUCGGGUUGUAAACUCCUUUCGACCGCGAGGAAGCCACCUGGUUGGAAGGGUGGUGACGGUAGUGGUAGAAGAAGCACCGGCUAACUACGUG
This 494-nucleotide ribosomal RNA is filed under the name uncultured bacterium. RNAcentral describes it as "partial 16S ribosomal RNA". It matches the Rfam family "Bacterial small subunit ribosomal RNA", at positions 28 to 507 of the family's 1533-position model. The record is from RNAcentral.